This 2738-nucleotide long non-coding RNA is filed under the name Phaseolus vulgaris (common bean). RNAcentral's name for it is "long non-coding RNA (PVUL_LNC001424)". Lineage: Eukaryota; Viridiplantae; Streptophyta; Magnoliopsida; Fabales; Fabaceae. The record is from RNAcentral.
CUGCUGCUGUCUUGAUUCUGACCCCUGAUUCGGUUUGGAUGGCUGUGAUGUCCUCAGCUCUCACAUCUUGGAUACCACCUGACAUCUCACUUCCCAAGGCAAUGGUUGCACUGAAUGGUGAAAUGCAUGUUAACCUUCUUAUCACUAGGUGUUUGGUUGGCCACCCAAAUUUUAUUCCAUACUCAUCCCAUCCACUCUUAACAGCCACACAGUCAUCCCCAGAAACUAUGUAGCAAUCUUCAAUUCUUACAUUUGUGCAAGAAUCUGAUAAGAAAAAUUAAAAGAUAGAAAAGGAGUUUGAACAAACUGUUUUAUAAAUUCAAACCAAACUCUAUUGUUCUUUCCUUCUAUACACAGUUUAUAUUUGAAGAGUUUGAAGCUGAUAAUGAAUGAACUACCAACCUGGGUUGAUGCCAUCAGUGUUUGGAGAUGUGAUAGGAGCAAAAAUGGUGAUGCCUUGCACAAUAAUGUUGCUGCAUAGUAUUAAAACUUGUCAGAACAUUGGAAGUAAAAGAUAGUUACAGAGUAACUGAACAGUAACUAUACGAGUAAUUAUAUAAAUGUAAGAACACUUUUUUUUGCAAAACUUGAACAAAAUAAAGUGGUAUUACCUGCUAUAAACUGGAUGAACAUUCCAUGAUGGGGAAUUGAGGAGGGUUAGAUUUGAGAUUUGAAUGUUGUCUGAGAACAUCAAUUCAAUCAGGUACGGACGAGUGUACUUCAACUUUUUUCUGUGAAAUUGCUGCCACCAAAACUCACCCUGACCAUCUAUUGUGCCAUUUUCUCCUGUUAACAAAAAGGAUCAUGAUUGAUAUAAUUUAUCUAUAAUAAUAAUAAGAUAAAAUACUAAAAAUAGUCUAUGUAUUAAUAAUAUGAAUGAUUUUACACCGAUAUCCAUUUACAAAUUAAUAUGCAUAGUAAAUUUAUCGAUUUUGUAAUAAUUACAGUAAAAUCAUACUUACCAUGACUUCUGGUUAAUUGACAGAAUGGAUUUUAUAUAGAAAUUCAAUUCUAAUAAUAAUAGAAGAGUAUAAUCUAUAGUUAAUAUUUAAGACUUUAAUUUAUAUACUAUAGGGAUGUGUGUAAAUAUAUGUACACAAACAUCUAGAAUUAAACAGGAAUUCACUUUAUGAUCACUUAGUAUUAAUUUCUAUACAGUUAUAAAUAAAUACAUACAACAAAUUUUGGUGAUUAGAACUUUUGGAUACACAGAACUGGUUUUUUUGCCUCCUUACCUGUGACAAUAACAUCAGUAAGGUUUGUUCCAAAUAUGAGGCUUGCGAAUCUUCCUGCUGCUGCGUCUCUUCCUCUGCCGUAUGAUGGGAGGGGUUCAAGCACAGGCCAUUCAGUUAUAUCCUAAACCAUUUUAUUAGUUCAGUAAAAAAGAGUUAGCAGUAGCACACAUGAAUGUGCCAAAAGUGUGUCACACUUGCAACCUUUUUCCUAGGUAACACAAGACAAAUGUGUAAGGCACUCUGAAAGUUUUUGUCUGAAUGUAAGAACAGACCAAAAGUGUCAGGAUAAAGUGAUAAACUUUUGUGUAUAGUUGAAUUAUUUUAAGACUAAUGUUCUCAUCUCAUAUGCUUGGUAGAAAGUGGGGAAUCUUGUGACACAUUCUUUGCGUUUCAUUUAUUGGACAUCUUUCCUUAUUUGUUACUCACGUGAACCCCUUAUUCACCAUUAAAAAAUGAUCAAUGAGUUUAUGAUAAUAAUGACAAAUAACAAGGUGGAAAUAUUGUAUUAUAUGUCUAUGUUUCAGCCAUUUUCUAAAAAAAAGUUAGUAAAAAUUGACUAAAUGUCACGUCAAAUUGAGUAAAUUUGUGAAUAUGUGUUGUCUUUGAUCAUAGAAUAAUUCUUAAUGCUUGAAGCCUAGUUUUUCUUUGAUAUUUAUUGUUUUCUUCCGGUGAAAGCUCGAAAUGUAUUUCAUUGCCUGUUUUGUUCUGUAUCAGACUUGGAAAAUGUUCUAGUGAGAUACUGCCAAAAGGAAAGGUGCAAGAACAGUCAGAUGAAGCCAACUGAUUGGUACAGUAACACUCUUUUCUAAACCCAGAGUCAGUAGAAAAAGAAUUAGGAAAAGGUUUUGGCUAUUUCUACUUUCAAAGGCUUGUGAGCAAUAAUAAGGCUUUGAAAUUUGAGAGCUGGAGAGUACUCAUGUGAGUGAUGAAAAUUGUGAAAGACUAUUUUAAUGUUCAUAGACAACAGAUUCUCACAGAUAAAAGUCUCUCAUCUAACAUGUGUGGUGAAAAUUUGUAGGUAGUUGCAAUUGAAGCACUAAUGGAAAUGAUGGAUUUUGAAUAAACUUGAAAGUGCUUUCAGAAAGCACAAAAUGAACACUCAUUAUGCCUUAAAACCUGAUGUUUAUUGUUAAAUUGUCACCAAGAAGGAGUAGAAAAUGGGAUACCUGAGAAGCAAGGAGAACAGCAUCUUUGUCCAGAUAGAGGGUGAAGUGACUAGUGAGACUGAAGCUACCAGUGAGCCAUUUUCCUGCAGGAACGUAGAGCUGAGAACCACCUUCAGAAGCAUACUGACUCAGCUGACUUAUUGCUGACUGAAAUGCCUUUGUGUUGGAUGUCUUUCCAUCCCCAACACCACCAAAAUCAGUCAAUGAAGCACUAUGAGCUCUGCAGUUGAUAGCGUUGUACUCUAAAGAAGUUGUCACAACUUUGGCUUUUCUGCUCUCUACUCUCUCUGAAUUCAGUAGUGUAACCAAAAGGAGAGCAAAAGCUGUUCCAAUCACC